AAAUACACAAACCUAUCUUCAAUUGUGACCUUUAGAUAAGCUUAAAACUAUUAGUAGUUGGUCAGAUAAUAGCUUUACAGUACUUCUAAACACAUUACAUGAUAUGUUACCUGAAGGUAAUGUAAUUCCUACAUCGACAAUAUGCGUAAGAAAAUUUCUAAAGACAUUUGAUUUAGGCUAUGAGAAGAUUCAUGCAUGUGUUAAUAAUUGAUGUUUGUUUAGAAACGAUAAAAAAGAAUUAGAUAGCUAUCCAAAAUGUGAUUCUUCGAGAUGGAAGGUCAAUAAGCAUACACAAAAGCGUAAAAAUGGUGUACCUGCUAAAGUCUUAAGAUACUUUCCUAUAAAACCUAGAUUCCAAAGGAUGUUUAGUAAACUGAAGAUGGCUGAAUCAUUAAUAUGGCAUUCAACCAAUUAGAGUGUUGAUGGUGAAAUGUGUCAUCCAGUAGAUUCUCCAUCUUGGGCUUUAAUUGACAACAAGUGGCCAGAGUUUGCAAAUAAUCCACGCAAUCUUAGGCUUGGGCUUGCUACAGAUGGUUUCAAUCCAUUCAACAAUUUUAGCUCUACAUAUAGUUGUUGGCCAGUGAUGUUGGUCAUUUAUAAUCUACCACAAUGGUUAUGUAUGAAAAAAGAAAAUAUCAUGUUGUCAUUGUUAAUUCCAGGGCCUAAACAGCCUCGGAAUGAUAUUGAUAUAUAUUUGCAACCACUUGUAGAUGACUUGAACGAAUUGUGGAAUAUUGGGAUGAAUAUGUAUGAUGCACACACUAAUGCAGUUUUCAACUUGAGAGCAAUACUUAUGUGGACUAUUAAUGAUUUACCAGCUCUUGGAAAUUUAGCUGGAUGUAAAAUUAAAGGUAGGACAAGUUGCCCUAUAUGUUCUGAGAAUAGUCACUCACAGCGGUUAAAAUUUAGUAGAAAAUUUACAUACAUAGGUCAUAGGAGAUUUUGUCACCAUAUCAUCCGUUAAGGAAAAAUAAAUCUUGGUUUGAUGGACAUGAAGAAAAGGAAACCAAACCUAAAAUUAUGUCUGGUAGCAACAUUCUGGUUACUCUUAAAGAUUAUGUCAACAAUUUUGGGAAAGCUCGGAAACGAAAAAGAAAGACAGAUAAUGGGAGCAUGCUAACAUGGAAAAAGAGAUCAAUCUUUUUAACUUACCAUAUUGGGAGGUAAGAUUUUCGCAUUCUCCAACUCUUAUUCAACUUCUUUCAAUUAUUUGAAUAUACUUUUUUUAUGAAACUAACAAAAUCUUUUUGCUUUGUUACAUUAUUAGGUGCUACCAUGACGUCAUAAAUUUGGAUGUAAUGCACAUUAAGAAAAAUGUAUGUGAAAGCAUUAUUGGUAAAUUUUAGACAUAAAUGAUAAACAAAAGAUGGAUUAAAUGCUCGUAAGGAUUUACAAGACAUGGAAAUUAGGAAGGAGUUACAUCUAGAGGAACGAGGUAAUAGAAUAUACCUUCCUCCUGUUCCACAUACGUUGUCAAGGUUAGAGAAACAAACAUUUUGUAAGAGGUUGUUUAACUUGAAAUUACCUAAUGGGUACAGUUCAAAUGUAGCCACUUGUAUAUCAGUAGAUGAAUGCAAAAUUAUUGGCCUCAAGUCACAUGAUUGUCAUGUCCUCAUGCAACAACUUUUGGCUGUAUCAUUAAGAGGAUUACUUACAAAAGGACCAAGACAUGCAAUUUUAGACUAUGAACAUUCUUCAAUAGAUUAUGCCAACAUAUUGUUGAUAGAGAGAAAAUAGCAAUAUUAGAAGACGAAGUACUUGAAACCUUAUGCAGUCUUGAAAGAUUAUUUCCUCUUGCAUUUUUGAUAUCAUGAUACAUUUGGUGGUACAUUUGGGAAGAGAAGUACGAUUAUGUGGUCCAGUUCACUAUCGCUGGAUGUAUCCUUUUGAGAGGUGAGAAAUUCACAAUUACUUGGAUAAAUUUACACAUAAUUUCAUUCUUAGUACUAAUUUGUUUACUUUGUUUACUUGUAGAUAUAUGAAGAUAUUCAAAGGACAUGUGAGAAAUCGCGCACGGCCUAGAGGUUGCAUAACUAAAUGUUAUCUUGCAGAUGAGUGCAUGAAAUUUUGUACCGAGUUUAUGAAACAAGUAAGAGAAAUUGAUCAUCGAGAGGGGCGCAACGAAGAUUAUGUUAGCAAUGAAAUUACUAAGGGAUGUCCCAUUUCUGCUCCAAAUUUUAUUACACUAAGUAAUGAAAUGUUAGAGAUAGCACAUCGUUAUGUAUUAUUCAAUACAUCUUAUGUGGAACCUUAUUUGGAAUAAGUCAUCCACUUUUUAUAUCAAUAAGUACAGAACGUGUAUAUAAAUUUGUAAUCUCGGAUAACUUGCUUAUUAUUAGAAUGCAUAAAGAGGAGCUAAAGCGAAACAAUAGAAGCCUUGAAAAAAACGAAAGCUUGCUUUAGAAAAUUCACAUGGAGAAAUUUUUAGUGUGGUUAAAGGAGAAGGUUGUACAUAAUGUUGAUAAAUUAUUAUUUUCUCAUUAUAAUCAUAUAUAAUUACAUCACUGAUACAUGUCUAACUUUUUUCACAAAUUGAAGUAGGUUCUACCAUAAGUAAUGAAUAAGAUGUUCUGAAAUGGUUGGCACAUGGUCCUAAAAUGCAAGCAGUCUCCUACACUAGAGAGAUUAGCAAAGGACAACGUUUCCACAUAAAAGACGUUGAGAAAUCUACACAGAAUAGUGGUGUAUCAAUUGAAGUGAUAAUCAUGUGCAGAGCUAGUGCAAAGGAUAAUGCACAAGUUUCUGAUGUUGUUGAAUUUUAUGGAGUUGUUCGAGAAAUAAUUUCAUUAGAUCACCACAUAAUGAAGAUUCUACUCGUUAAGUGUCACUGGGCAAAUGUUCAUAACGGUGUUAAAGUGGAUGAUUGCUUUACACUUGUUAAUUUACACCAAGGUCAAAAUAAUUUUCUAAAAAAUCAUUUUAUUUUAGCAUCACAGAUCAAACAAGUGUUUUAUUCAAGAGAAAAUGAUUCCUCUAAUUGGUACAUGCUUUUGAAAGUACCACCUCGAGGAUUUCAUGAUUUAGAAAUGUAUGAUGAGAAUGAGGAAGUCAAUGUUAGAAAUAGUAUUUCAUUGAACAUUGAUGAUGUGAAUGAGGAAAUUAGCUAUGUAAGAGGGGACUACGAUGGUACUUUAAUUUGAUGAUUGUAAAUUUUAGUUCAAAAAUAAAAAGAUCCUUUUGUAGUUAGUUUUGUUUGUGUUUUCUUGUGUUGCCUUGAAGCAUUUUAAUCUUAAUAUUAUAGUUUUGCUUGUAUUUUUUUUGUUGGCUUGCAAUGAUGAGUUUUAUUUAUUCAUUUUUUUAUGUCAUUUUUUGAAAUGCUGACAUAGAAUGCUAAUCAUGAUUUUUAUAUUUUUUUAAAUAGGUUGGAUAUCAUGGUGAAUAUCAGAAAGAAGGUUGUGAUGAUUCAAAAGCUCCACGUAAAAAGAGAUCAGUAGAAAAACUACGCGUGGACAACUUAAAGUAGCCAACACAUUUCAACAACAUUUUAACUCUCUAGAUGCUUCUACUAGGUCUUUCUGCAGCAUGAAUCUGCAUAAGGAUCUAAUGAAAAAAAUAUUAUUCACUUGUUGAUUUACACAAAAACUAUGCAAAGAGGUACAUCACUAACACAUUUACAGAUGAGGCAUCACAUGAGGUUACCCCAGAAGAUGAUGUAGACAUGAGUUGUAAUGAAAACCAAGGAAGACAUGUGGAAGAUACGUCUCUAUUACAACAAAAUGUUACAACUUCUGAAGGAGAGACUCAACAAGUUCAAAAGAAGAAGAGAGGUCCUACCCAAAUGAAGAAUUUGAACGAAGUCAUUGCUCCAAUUGAAGUAAAGUUUAAUGAAAUGGGACAAUCUCUAUCUGUCACUUUAUCUUCCUUUCUAGGCCGUCUUGUAAGGGAGACUAUAUCGUAUACUCUCGUUGACUGGCAAUAUCUUUCAAAAGCUAUGAAACUUGUUAUGUGGAAAGAUAUUCAGGUAUCUCCUUCUAAAUAAUUUGAUGUUAUAUAAUACAACGUAAUAAAUAUUUGAUAUUUUAUAAAAUUGAAAAUUUAUAACAUGCAGCAAAGGUUCAAAGUAGAUCAAAAUGGCAACAAGACUACAUUUUUAAAGAAAUGGGUGGUCUCUGGAGACCGUCAAAGUCUCGACUUGUGAAAAAUAUUAGAGAAGCACCAAAUGAAGCAGAAAGAACGAAACUCAAACCUAAUUACAUAAUUAAAACCCCAGCAAUUGAAAAAGUUUGUGAAGGAAAAGACGAGUACAGAAUUUAUGGUAUCAUUUUGAAAAUUUCAUAAAAUGGACCGCCAUUUAUAGUGAAUUUUGGAAUAAGAUUUUUUGUGGUAGUAUCGUAUAAUUUCCAAAGUAUAUUUAUUGCGUGUUUAUCUCGAGCAACAUAACAUGAAAAAUUUACAAGCCAUGCAAUGUAGUGUCGAAGACAAACAUGGCUUCUUCCAUUCAAUAUAAAUGAGUAAUUUUGAAAAUUUCAUCAAAUGGGCUGCCAUUUACAGUGAAUUUUGGAAUUAAGACCUUCUUGUUGUAGUCUCGUAAAAACUCUUAAGUAUAUUUUAUUGCGUGUUUAUCUGGAGUAACCUAACAUGAAAAAUUUAUAGGCCAUGCAAUGUAGUGUCAAAGGCAAACAUGGCUUCUUCUAUUCAAUAGAAAUGAGUCAUUUCGAAAAUUUCAUCAAACGGGUCGCCAUUUACAAUGAAUUUUCGAAUUAAGACCUUUUAGUGGUAGUCUCGUAAAAUUUCUAAAGUAUAUUUAUUUUGUAUUUAUCUCGAGCAACCUCACAUGAAAAAUUUACAAGCCAUGCAAUGUAGUGUCGAAGGCAAACAAGAUUUCUUCUAUUCAAAAAAAUGAGUCAUUUUGAUAAUUUCAUCAAAUGGGCCGCCAUUUAUAGUGAAUUUUGGAAAUAAGACCUUUUGUGGUAGCAUCGUAAAAUUUCUGAAGUAUAUUUAUUGCAUUUUCUUUCUCGAGCAACCUAACAUGAAAAAUUUACAAGCCAUGCAAUGUAGUAUUGAAGGCAAGCAUGACUUCUUCUAUUCAAUAGAAUUGAGUCAUAUUGAAAAGGGAAAAAAAUCAUAAUUCAGUGAUUUAGUUUACACCAAAUCACAAGUCAGAUGUAUAAUUUGAAAUUGCAAAACUCAAGUAUGAGGUAAUUAAUUAAAAAAAUUAUUAAUUAAACAUAAUAAGGUCACAUUUAUACAAUUAAUGAUCACAUGUACAUAAUUACAGGUCACAUAUUAUCAAAUUGAUUGGUCACGUGUUAUUUCGAGGGUCACAAAUCAAGAAAAUAAGGGUCACAGUUUAUCUAUUGUCACAUAUUUUCAAAUUUAUUGGUCACGGAUUAAUUUUUUUAGUCACAAAUUAUCGAAUUUUAAGGUCAUAUUUUAAUAGUUAGUCACAAAUAACCAAAUAAUUGGUCAUAUACACCCAAACACCAAAUCCCAAUUCUCAUCCAACACCAAUACUUGGUCACAAAUUGACCAAAUAGUUGGUCACAGACACUUUUCGUUCCAUCCCGUCGCUAUGCCACCACCGUCACCACCAGCAAUAACAAUAACACACUACCACUGCAACCAAUAUCACCACCUCAUCACUAUCACGACGACCACCACCACCCAGAUCUAAACAUACAUAACCACCACUACCCAUUGACAGGCACCAAUGAUGCACUGUAGCUCCGAAUGAACCACAACUUCGAGUAGUCAAUUUUACUGCUGCUGAGGUAGUGUGUCGCUCAGAGGAGAUCGCAAUGAGCUGCACUCGCUGCUCGACAGUAAUGGCCAUGUGGGAGAGACAUUAGAGAGAUAGAGAGAAAGGGAAAAAGAUGGGAAGAGAGAGAAAACAAUUUAGGGUUUUAAUUAGGUAGGGAGAGUAUAUGUAUUUACCUGAUGUUUGAAUAAGUAAAUUUUAAACCUCAUUUUUUAAAUUCAAUCUUUAAAUACCUAUAUGUAUGCAAUUUCCUCUUUUGAAAAUUUCAUGAACUGGGCCGCCAUUUAUAGUGAAUUUUGGAAUCAAGACUUUUUGUGGUAGUCUUGUAAAAUUUCUAAAGUAUAUUUAUUGCGUGUUUAUCUCGAGCAACCUAACAUGAAAAAUUUACAAGUCAUGCAAUGUAGUGUUGAAGACAAACAUGACUUCAUCUUUUCAAUAGAAAUGAGUCAUUUCGAAAAUUUCAUCAAAUGGGUUGCCAUUUAUAGUGAACUUUGGAAUUAAGACCUUUUUGCGGUAGUCUAGUAAAAUUUCAAAAUUAUAUAUAUUGCGUGUUUAUCGCGAACAACCUAACAUGAGAAAUUUACAAGCCAGGCAACAUAGUGUCGAAGGCAAACACGACUUCUUCUAUUCAAUAGAAAUGAGUCAUUUUGCGAAUUUCAUCAAAAUGGGCCGCCAUUUAUAGUGAAUUUUGGAAUUAAGACCUUUUUGGUGGUGGUAUCAUAAAAUUUCUAAAGUAUAUUUAUUGCGUAUUUAUCUCAACCAACCAAACAUGAAAAAUUUACAAACGAUGCAAUGUAGCGUUGAAGGCAAACACGACUUCUUCUAUUCAAUAGAAAUGAGUCAUUUUCAAAGUUUCAUCAAAUGGGCCGCCAUUUAUGGUGAAAUUUGGAAUUAACACCUUUUUUUUGGUAGUUCCGUAAAAUUUCUAAAGUAUAUUUACUGCGUGUUUAUCUUGAGCAACCUAACAUGAAAAAUUUACAAGCCACGCAAUGUAGUGUCGAAGGCAAACAUGGCUUCUUCUAUUCAAUAGAAAUGAGUCAUUUAGAAAAUUUCAUCAAACGGGUCGCCAUUUACAGUGAAUUUUGGAAUUAAGACCUUUUAGUGGUAGUCUCGUAAAAUUUCUAAAGUAUAUUUAUUUUGUGUUUAUCUCGAGCAACCUCGCAUGAAAAAUUUACAAGCCAUGCAAUGUAGUGUCGAAGGCAACAAACUUCUUCCAUUCAAAAGAAAUGAGUCCUUUUGACAAUUUCAUCAAAUGGCCGCCAUUUAUAGUUAAAUUUGGAAUUAAGACCUUUUAGUGGUAGUCUCGUAAAUUUCUAAAGUAUAUUUAUCGUGAGCAAACUAACAUAAAAAAUUUACAAGCAAUGCAAUGUAGCGUCGAAGGCAAACAUGACUUCUUCUAUUCAAUUGAAAUGAGCCAUUUUGAAAAGGGAAAAUUCAUCUCCAAGAGAUUAAGUAUGGUCCAUUUCAAAAUUAAGAAAUAAGGUUUCAAAUUUCAAAAAUCAAAAUUUAAUUAACUUUUAUUUAUGAAAUAAUUUAUUAAAAAUAUAAUUUAUUAAUUCAAUGUAUUAAAGUCACAAUUCUAUAUUAUUUGGUCAUAAAUUAUCGAAUUAACUGAUGACAAAUCAUUUCUCGUUCACGAAAAAAAAUUUUAGAGGUCACAAAUUACUUUUUGGUCACAAAUAAAAAAUUUUAGAAGUUACAAUUUAUUCAUUGGUCAUAAAUAAAUAAAUUUAUAAGUCACAAUUUAUUGAACGAUCACAAACCAAAAAAUUUAUAUGUCACAAUUUAUUUAUAAGUCACGAUUUUAAUUUUUAAGUCAUAUAUUAUUUAUUAGUCAUAAAAUAUCCAAUUUAUUGGUCAUAAUUUCAAAUAACUGGUUACAUAUUAUUUAUUAGUAAUAAGUUAACUAAUUUAUUGAUCACAAUAACUAAAUAAUUGGUCACAAGUCCCCCUUUUAUACAACCAUAACCAAACACAGCCCUAUCACCACCACCACCACCAGAAACAUCAUCUCACCACUACUAGGACCACCACCAUCCGUACAAAGAAUCAAAACCACCAUCUCCAACACACCACCAUCACCAAUCAAAAAAUCCCUAAACCUACCAUCACCAUCGCCACUGCCACCACAACCACCAUCGUUGCAACCGUUCCACAACUAUAGGCAUCGUCACCACCAUCUCACCAUCAUAGCCCACCAAAAAUCACAACUAUCUCUUCUAUCACCAUCUCCAUAACACCAUCCCCAUCGCCUGCAUCAGCAACAACCACCGCCUGCACUAGUAACCACACCACCUGCUAAAAUCAACAAAAUCCCUAAACCUGCCAUCGCUUGCACUAUCUCACCACACCGUAGCCACCAUCCCUACCAACAAAAUCCCUAAACUUGUCACUGCCAUCUAGACGUUCAACAUACUACAAAUCAACCUCCAAUUCUAGCCACAACAAAAUUAGAAAAAGAAAGAGGAGCAAAAUUUUGCACCGAUCGUGAUGAUCGGCCAUCGACUGGGAGGAUUGAUCGCUGCUGAUAUCAUCACCAUUGUGCGCACGACUGUUGGUACGAUUAUCACAUUGACUUGCUCAGAUCAGAGUGUGGCUGUUGUCUACCUCCCUAUGUGCCAUCACGUCGCCGUCGAAUGAGGUGGGUUUCAGAGCUCGGUGAAUGAUUGGUAGAGGCGUCAAAAUAGUGAGGGUGGGAAAGGUAGAGAGGGUGAGAAGAGAGAGAGGAGAGGAGAGUGGUAAUUGAAUUUUAGGGUUUGGGAUAAAUAUGUGUAUUUAAUUUUGUAAUAUAAUUAUUAAUAUCUAAGACAUAUUAAUUAAUUAAUAACACAUCUUAUUUUAGAAAUAGCAAAUUUAACCUAUAUUUACAAAAUGGAAUCUCUAAAUAUAUUAGGAGCUCGUUUGGUAUAACUAAAAAGCCAAUUAAAAUUAAUUAUUUGAUCAUUAUUUCACUAUUACAGUCGUUAUUUUUGAAUUCUUCUCUUACAGGUAGGACCCACUUUAUCUUUAACAGUCAUAAAAUCAAUUAUCAAAAUCCCUAUCAAACAAGCACUAGAUCCUAUAAUUUCCACUUUUGAAAAAUUCAUCAAAUGGGCUAGCAUUUAUAGUGAAUUUUGGAAUUAGAUCUUUUUGUAGCAAUCUCGUAAAAUUUCUACAUAAUAUUUUUUGCGUGUUUAUCUCGAUCAACCUAGCAUGAAAAAUUUACAAGCGAUGCAAUGAAGUGUCCAGGGCAAGCAUGACUUCUUCUAGUCAAUAGAAAUGAGUCAUUUUGAUAAUUUCAUCAAAUGGGUCGACAUUUAUAGUGAAUUUUUGAAUUUAGACCUUUUCGUGGCAGUCUCGUAAAAUCUCGUCUCCUCAAACCUCCCGUUAUUACGAGGAUUCACAUUAUUUUCAUUUUUCCUGCUCAAAUCCCCUCUGACUACAGGUUACAACACAUAUUUUUCCAAAUCAACUUGACCCCAUCGUCGACCCCACCCCACCCCACCGAUGCAUAUACACGUGAGCAAGCAUAGAAUGUAACGGCUACUUUCUCACUGUAAUCUGAAAAUGACUGCGCUAGUCAAACUUGUUAAUUAUGUUGGGAAUUUACUUAAACAUACGCAGUGAAAAUAAAAAUAAUUUCAAUUUUCACCACGAUUCAACUUUAUAUUUAGAUAGGAAUCGUUAUAAAAGUUAUACAUUUUCUUGGAUCUGCAAACUUCUUGAUUUAAUCUUUGUUCCAGCAAGUUGGAUCUGCUUCCCACAACUUUCCAAUUGUCCAGUCUUCAAUGAAUUCCACACAGAGAACAGAUUGCAGCCGCCAUGAUUUUCUCCUUUUGUGCUAGCAAGAAUUAUAAGAUUCUCUACUGAAUUGAAAACCCUAAUCACGUAUUUAUACAAGCCUAAACGAGAUUAGUCUGACCUGAUCCAAUAUUUAAUUUAUCCAUUUAAUUAAAUUCGGUUCGUGGAUUGAUUAAUCCAGUUAAUUAAUUCGGGACUAUAAAUAACCAACCAAAUUAAUUAAUUUAUCAAAUGAUUGUCAAAUUAAGUAAUUGACAAAUUGUAAUCUUCCAAUUCUCUUUUUUGUGCGAUCUAUCAGGUUCCUAAUCACUAUGCCUAAUGGCUAUUUUGAUCUAAUCAAAAUUGAUAAUUUAAAACAUCAUUAUAAUUUAUCACCAAUUCACACUCGCCGUCCCAUAUUGACAUCUAGUAAUGUAUCAGAGUAACACAUAUGACGAAAAAUAUCACAUGGUAUGAAAAAAUCAAACUUGUUUGUUUACCAUGAAACUAUAAUCCUUCUAUCAAUAUGAUUCGAUCAAUUACGAGAUAUUUAAGUGUGUCAAUCUCAAUUAUCUAUCAUAUCUUUCAUUCUACUAUUAAGUCAAUAUGAGUCGAAAUUUUCGACUCAUGAGUAUACCUUAACUAAGAAUUUCGUUAUUGAUUUAAUUGAAUGAAAUGCAGGUCACAAUCUUUUACUAUCUAAAAAUGACGAAUCGUCUAUUGAUCAUUCACAACUUUUAUAUGGUUCUUGACAUAUCCGAACGAUGUCGUAUCAAGGGUUCUUGACAAAGCAACAUCCAAUACCGUCAAAGCAUUACUAUCCUCAUAUAAGGCACUAUGACGACCUCAAGUCAAAUGACCAAUUCCACUAUCGAACGUUAGAUAUUAACCACUGAUACUCAAAUAGUUAUCCAUGUGGAAUUUUUUAGCGGGUCUCCAAUAUUUCGUCUAUAACAAAACAUUCACGCGUUCAUUGAAGUGUCACCACGCUUUAACUUAUAAGAUCAGCUACUUACUUCACAAGUAAGAAAUGUCAUACGUGAUGGUUCAUCCGUAAUAACGAUAUAUGUAUCUCGUUAUUACUUAUGACCACAGAUUAUUCAAGAUCCGAUCAUAUAUAAUUUGCAUCUCACAAUCACAACAUUUUGUGAUUAACAAAUUACUUAAAUUUGAAUUUUCGGACUCCAUUAUUUAAUAUUAUUUAUGAAAAUAUUAAUUUGAGCUCAUGUUUAUUUCCUAUUAAAAUAAAAAAUAUGAUCGUUAUCCAUCACAUCAAGUCACCAUAUUUGAAUUUUUAUCUUUUAUAUGAGGUUCACAAUGAUUAUAUUUUUUUAUUUUUUUUUUACAUAAAUGGAAAAUAAACGGGUGAAUAAAUUAUAGAUGUUGACAAAAUUAAAUGCAAUAAACAUUUAAAAGUAUUUACGAUUGACCCUUUGUUUGACCUCCAUUUUUUUGUAAUGAAAAUGAGAGGAAUGGUGUUUUUUUUUUUUUUGAAAAAUGAGAGGUUAAAAGGAAUGAAAAAUUUACGUGUAAUAUUAUUUUAUGAAAGAUUGUGUGAUUGAAAAUAGAAAGAAGAAAAAUAGAAUUUAAUGGAAUAUAAUCUAAUGGAGGCAAACGUAGCUGAAUAUAACGCAUUACGCCUACAAAUUCAUCGGCAUUCUAAGCUGCGGCUCCAUGACCUGAACUCAAACCCGUAAGAGAACAAAUUCAGGUGGGCGUAAACCAGAAUCCUGAUAUGGAAUCGAUUGUGGUGUUAGAUUCGGAUUCUGAGUUUGAAGCUGGAUUACAAUCGAAUGAUUUCAUUAGUGAUGAGGAACGAGAAGGGAUUAGAGAGAUCGAGGAUGAUGAAGAAGUGACGAUUUGUGGGGAUUCGAAGCCAUGCAAAAUGGGGAAGAGAAAAAUUGAAAAAGGGGACUUGGAAUUCAAGAAUUCCUUGCCCUUCAUGUGUAACGCUCCUAAAAUGGUAAUUUAUCAUUCUUAUUUGUUAUGAAGACGAUUUUUGGUGGCGAUUUUUUCUGUAGCCAACUGGGAGUAAUAAAUUGUGGGCUUUGGUAAUUCAUGGACUUCUGUUGUUACUCUUUAUGAGAGAUUUUUUUUUUAUUUUUUUUAUUUUUUUUUAUUUUUUGCCUGUAAAUGAACGUUUGAAAAUAUUUCGGUUUUCCUGUAGCACAUUAAUAGUUGGUUUUGGAUUGUCAAUUCUAAGUAUUUAAACCUUUUGAUAUUACAAAUUUGGUUUAUGUCCUGUCAAUGAAUUUUCAAAUUUUCAAGAAUUAUGGCGUUAUUAUGUGGAAUUUGUGAGAAUUGGAGUUUUUUUAAUUUUAUUAUAGCCGUCUAUUAAUUGGUUUGGAUAAAUUAUAUCAUGUAGAAUUCUUUAAAGUUUGCGGGUAUUUAGUUUUGUGGUUCUGUAGUCAUUUAUGCUGACCUGGUUGGUGUCCAUUCAGGAAUUGUGAUGAUCCUUUCUAGAAUUCUUCAUCUUAUUCUUCCACAAAAUUUAAAAGGGUCUUUUGUGUUGUUGCAAUGCCUGUUACUUUAGUUUUGGUCUUUUGAUUGAUUAAUAAAAUUCAAGUUUUGGAGUUUUCUCCAACUGGUUUGUUAUAGGAUGAAAAUAAAAAUUGCGAUUGCCACUGUAGUUGGGCAUUACGGCAACCUAUGCGCGGCGGAGCCCUCGAUGAGUUCUUAUCAUUUUUAUUUUAUUUUUUGAUAAAACAAAAAUAAAUAAAAUAAAAGGAACAAUGACAUUUCAAAUCUUGGUACUGAAGUUUAUUUCAGAUUACUAUUUUUUUUAAAUAGAUUAAUUGAAUCAGCAUGUUACCAAAGUAACCACUCUUACAUAAAUUAAUUUAUUUGGAAUAUUAGGAAAGUCGUAUGUACGUAAUUUCUGCAGAUAUUCAUUGGCACAAAGGAAUAUUAGGAAGGUCUUGUGUACGUAAAUUAUGGAUAAAGAAUGGGUGCGUCUUAAGAGGUAAUUUGUACUUUGUCUUGUAAUUUAUAUACUUUAUAUUUUAAGAUAAUAUCUUAGAACAUUGUCUUUUAAAAUUGUUAGGGGCCUCACAAGAGUACAUAAAAGCUUCAAAAAAUUUUGUCACUACUGCUCAUCAUAAUUUAGGCAAACCAGAUAAAAUUUUAUGUACUUGUAAAGGUUGUCGAAACUUAAGCCAUCAAUAUGUAAAUAUCGUUCACGAGCAUCUAGUCAUAAGAGGAAUGGAUCCGACUUACACAAAUUGGUUUCACCAUGGAGAAAUAUUAAUUAGUAAUGUUGAUACUACAAAUAAGACAAAAAUAUUCAACUUGUUUGAAGCUACACAUACGAAUGAAGAACAUAACAAGGAAGUUUUUGAAGAGAAUUUGGAUGAUAACAUUAGUCGAUUGGUGAAGGAUGCUGAAACUCCGUUGUAUCCGGAAAUGAAAAAUACACAAACCUAUCUUUAAUUGUGACCUUAUAUAAGCUUAAAACUAUUAGUGGUUGGUCAGAUAAUAGCUUUACAGAACUUCUAAACAUAUUACAUGAUAUGUUACCUGAAGAUAAUGUAAUUCCUACAUCGACAAUAUGCGUAAGAAAAUUUCUACAGACAUUUGAUUUAGGAUAUGAGAAGAUUCAUGCAUGCGUUAAUAAUUGUUGUUUGUUUAGAAACGAUAAAAAAGAAGUAGAUAGCUAUCCAAAAUGUGGUUCUUCGAGAUGGAAGGUCGAUAAGCAGACACGAAAGCAUAAAAAUGGUGUACCUGCUAAAGUCUUAAGAUACUUUCCUAUAAAACCUAGAUUCCAGAGGAUGUUUAGUAAACC
Molecule: long non-coding RNA, 13238 nt
Filed under: Olea europaea (common olive)
Lineage: Eukaryota; Viridiplantae; Streptophyta; Magnoliopsida; Lamiales; Oleaceae
Description: long non-coding RNA (OEUR_LNC009066)
Source: RNAcentral